UAACCGCAUCAGGUCUCCAAGGUGAA
This 26-nucleotide non-coding RNA is filed under the name Arabidopsis thaliana (thale cress). Lineage: Eukaryota; Viridiplantae; Streptophyta; Magnoliopsida; Brassicales; Brassicaceae. RNAcentral also lists the same sequence under 1 other name. The record is from RNAcentral.